GACGAACGCUGGCGGCGUGCUUAACACAUGCAAGUCGAACGGAAAGGCCCUGCUUUUGUGGGGUGCUCGAGUGGCGAACGGGUGAGUAACACGUGAGUAACCUGCCCUUGACUUUGGGAUAACUUCAGGAAACUGGGGCUAAUACCGGAUAGGAGCUCCUGCUGCAUGGUGGGGGUUGGAAAGUUUCGGCGGUUGGGGAUGGACUCGCGGCUUAUCAGCUUGUUGGUGGGGUAGUGGCUUACCAAGGCUUUGACGGGUAGCCGGCCUGAGAGGGUGACCGGCCACAUGGGGACUGAGGGACGGACCAGACGGCUACGUGAGGCAGCAGUGGGGAGUAUUGCACAAUGGGCGGAAGCCUGAUGCAGCAACCCCGCGUGCGGGAUGACGGCCUUCGGGUUGUAAACCGCUUUCGCCUGUGACAAAGCGUGAGUGACGGUAAUGGGUAAAGAAGCACCGGCUAACUACGUG
RNAcentral lists this ribosomal RNA (468 nucleotides) under uncultured bacterium. RNAcentral describes it as "partial 16S ribosomal RNA". It matches the Rfam family "Bacterial small subunit ribosomal RNA", at positions 28 to 507 of the family's 1533-position model. The record is from RNAcentral.